Molecule: unclassified non-coding RNA, 253 nt
Filed under: uncultured Acidobacteriota bacterium
Lineage: Bacteria; Pseudomonadati; Acidobacteriota
Description: uncultured Acidobacteria bacterium contains 16S-23S intergenic spacer region
Rfam family: Bacterial small subunit ribosomal RNA
Source: RNAcentral
UACGGGGGGAUCAAGCGUUGUUCGGAAUUAUUGGGCGUAAAGGGUGCGUAGGCGGCUUUACAAGUUCUGGGUGAAAGUCUCCCGCUUAACGGGAGGAGGUCCUGGGAAACUGUAGAGCUGGAGUGCUGGAGAGGCCGGCGGAAUUCCUGGUGUAGCGGUGAAAUGCGUAGAGAUCAGGAGGAAGAUCGGAGGCGAAGGCGGCCGGCUGGACAGACACUGACGCUGAGGCACGAAAGCCAGGGGAGCAAACGGG